ACGCUCGACACCUACGGAGGCAGCAGUGGGGAAUAUUGCACAAUGGGGGAAACCCUGAUGCAGCGACGCCGCGUGAGCGAAGAAGUAUUUCGGUAUGUAAAGCUCUAUCAGCAGGGAAGAAAGUGACGGUACCUGACUAAGAAGCACCGGCUAAAUACGUGCAAGCAGCCGCGGUAAUCUGAGCGGGCUGGCAAGGC
This 197-nucleotide ribosomal RNA is filed under the name uncultured bacterium. Its description in RNAcentral is "partial 16S ribosomal RNA". It matches the Rfam family "Bacterial small subunit ribosomal RNA", at positions 328 to 539 of the family's 1533-position model. The record is from RNAcentral.